UACGUAGGAGGCAAGCGUUGUCCGGAAUUACUGGGCGUAAAGAGCUCGUAGGUGGUUUGUCGCGUUGUCCGUGAAAACUCACAACUCAAUUGUGGGCGUGCGGGCGAUACGGGCAGACUGGAGUACUGCAGGGGAGACUGGAAUUCCUGGUGUAGCGGUGGAAUGCGCAGAUAUCAGGAGGAACACCGGUGGCGAAGGCGGGUCUCUGGGCAGUAACUGACGCUGAGGAGCGAAAGCGUGGGGAGCGAACAGG
Molecule: ribosomal RNA, 253 nt
Filed under: uncultured bacterium
Lineage: Bacteria
Description: partial 16S ribosomal RNA
Rfam family: Bacterial small subunit ribosomal RNA
Source: RNAcentral